This 423-nucleotide ribosomal RNA is filed under the name uncultured bacterium. Its description in RNAcentral is "bacterial SSU rRNA". It matches the Rfam family "Bacterial small subunit ribosomal RNA", at positions 355 to 775 of the family's 1533-position model. The record is from RNAcentral.
UGAGGAAUAUUGGUCAAUGGGCGCAAGCCUGAACCAGCCAUCCCGCGUGAAGGAAGAAGGCCCUACGGGUCGUAAACUUCUUUUCUGUUUGAAGAAUAAGCUCGUCGAGACGAGUGAUGCCGGUAGGACAGGAAUAAGCAUCGGCUAACUCCGUGCCAGCAGCCGCGGUAAUACGGAGGAUGCAAGCGUUAUCCGGAUUUAUUGGGUUUAAAGGGUGCGCAGGUGGUUUAAUAAGUCAGUGGUGAAAGUCUGGCGCUUAACGUUAGGAUUGCCAUUGAUACUGUUAGACUUGAAUAUGGAUGAGGUAGGCGGAAUGUGUAGUGUAGCGGUGAAAUGCUUAGAUAUUACACAGAACACCGAUUGCGAAGGCAGCUUACUAAUCCAUUAUUGACGCUGAGGCACGAAAGCGUGGGGAGCAAACAG